GUACAGUGCAAUGUGAUAUCCGAAAUGUCUGACAAAAUUAGGUAAUAACCCGAAUUAUAUGCAAGGCAAUAUAAGGUAUAUGUAUAGCCUGGAAAUUGUGACCGUUGCUCGCUCGCUCCGCUCGCUUGUAAAAAUCUAGUCCAACCUCACAACCGAUCCGACACGUUCGCCGAUUCGAAAUAUGUCGCCACCAUAUCGAAUAAUGAACGCAAGAGGGAUUGGUUUUCGGUUAGGCUAUAGCUUUCGAGCGAGCACGGUGAGCGAGGGUCGCGGAGAGGUGUGUCACAAUCCAACGGUUUGGCACAUUGGGACAUUCAAAUAUUCGCACCAGCCAGAGGAGCCGGAAGUCUUUAUCCUAUUGCCUACUGACAAAUUGUUGAAAAUAACAACGUGAGUUCUCGCUCGCCAUCUAUAUGCUGACGGCUAGUUACAAAAGAAGUAACUAGAAGUUGUUCCUAGACACGGUCGAUAGACCUGAUCGAUAGUUUUAGGACCCCUCUUGCCUUUUUUUUUUUUCAUUCGUUUGUGACCCUUCUAAGUGUGUGCAAUAAAGUUCUUUCUGCCUCGAGAAGUGUAGAUUUAUUAUCUAUAUAACAUAAUAAUAACUAACGCGAUCCUACCUCUAAAACAUAAAAUAACAACAGGUUAUGGGCCCAGGUUCGAUAAUUAGUUAUUAUUUUUAUUGAAAAUAUUUUAAAUAG
RNAcentral lists this unclassified non-coding RNA (701 nucleotides) under Bombus terrestris (buff-tailed bumblebee). RNAcentral describes it as "misc RNA ENSBTSG00005020841.1". Lineage: Eukaryota; Metazoa; Arthropoda; Insecta; Hymenoptera; Apidae. The record is from RNAcentral.